Cinara cedri is the source of this 825-nucleotide non-coding RNA. Lineage: Eukaryota; Metazoa; Arthropoda; Insecta; Hemiptera; Aphididae. The record is from the annotation of a GenBank genome assembly.
GAUCAAUAAUACGGUUAGAAGAGGGAGAGAGUAUACAAUUUGUAAUUAAACCUGAUAAAAGAAGGUUAAACCGUUACAAGAUUGUUAAAAUGUUAUUUUUUAAAUAGUAUUAGACAGUUGUUCGUUUGCUAAAUUAAUAUUUAUUAAAAAAAAUAACACAAGGUUUUUAAAACGUUUGUACAUUGGAUUUUUAAGUCAUUACUAUUGAUUACAAUUUGUUAAAUACAAUCUAAUUGUCGCUAUAUCGGUACAUGAUUAAAGUAAGCAUUUACACGUAAUUUAUAGUGUAACAACUAACCCAUAGAAUGUAACUACUUACCACGCCAUGUUGCUAGUUGUAAAAUUUUAAAUGAACAAAUUUAAUACUAUAUAUUGUGUGAAAAAAAAAAAUAUAAUUAUUGGUAAAAAUUGGCUACUGAAUAGGAUAUAACCCUAAAAAAUAGACUUAUCGCCAUUAUAAAAAUAAUAAAAAUUUUCAAAAUGUAUUAACUAAUCUCACUCUCCCAUAAUAUUAUUUAAGUAAUUAAUUCAGUCAGUUCGGUAAAGGUUUUUUAAUGUGAAAUACAGGAUAUAUUAAUUGAGUAAUAGGAGUUGCACUAAUAAUGUAUAAAGGAAUUGAAAUAAUUUAAUUUUUGGAAAUAAAUCAUAUUUUAUUUACCUAUUAUUUAUAAAGAUGUAUUUUUAAAAUGAAUUUUAGUUAGGGGCAACAACAAAAACAUCCUGCUUUUCCAUGACAUAUAGUUGGUUUUUCAGGGUUAUUAGAACAGGGGUCGGGAAAUACGUUAAUUGGAAAACAAUCCUGGCCACACUGGACGUCGGCAUUUG